This 609-nucleotide ribosomal RNA is filed under the name uncultured bacterium. RNAcentral's name for it is "bacterial SSU rRNA". It matches the Rfam family "Bacterial small subunit ribosomal RNA", at positions 331 to 929 of the family's 1533-position model. The record is from RNAcentral.
CCAGACUCCUACGGGAGGCAGCAGUGGGGAAUCUUCCGCAAUGGACGAAAGUCUGACGGAGCAACGCCGCGUGAGUGAUGACGGCCUUCGGGUUGUAAAGCUCUGUUAAUCGGGACGAAAGGCCUUCUUGCGAAUAGUGAGAAGGAUUGACGGUACCGGAAUAGAAAGCCACGGCUAACUACGUGCCAGCAGCCGCGGUAAUACGUAGGUGGCAAGCGUUGUCCGGAAUUAUUGGGCGUAAAGCGCGCGCAGGCGGAUAGGUCAGUCUGUCUUAAAAGUUCGGGGCUUAACCCCGUGAUGGGAUGGAAACUGCCAAUCUAGAGUAUCGGAGAGGAAAGUGGAAUUCCUAGUGUAGCGGUGAAAUGCGUAGAUAUUAGGAAGAACACCAGUGGCGAAGGCGACUUUCUGGACGAAAACUGACGCUGAGGCGCGAAAGCCAGGGGAGCGAACGGGAUUAGAUACCCCGGUAGUCCUGGCCGUAAACGAUGGGUACUAGGUGUAGGAGGUAUCGACCCCUUCUGUGCCGGAGUUAACGCAAUAAGUACCCCGCCUGGGGGAGUACGACCGCAAGGUUGAAACUCAAAGGAAUUGACGGGGGCCCCGCACAAG